CGCCUUUGAUGCAAAGCAGCUUCCCAAGAGGCACGCUAAUCCCGAGGCUAGUUAUGCAGUUCCCCGCAUGCGAGUGAGUUCCCUGCGUUCGGCGGUUUCCCAGUGACAUACAAAAUGACAUUGAUUGACUGUGUUCAGUUGAACAGGAAACUACGAAAUUACGUAGCUAUUAUGGAAGAAAUCAACAGUUCAGAAAAAAAUGGCCGUGUAAACAUUAACUGGCUUACGAGGUCGACAAACCAACGGUUCAAAGCAUCACAG
RNAcentral lists this long non-coding RNA (261 nucleotides) under Dermacentor andersoni. RNAcentral's name for it is "uncharacterized LOC126543817". The record is from RNAcentral. Lineage: Eukaryota; Metazoa; Arthropoda; Arachnida; Ixodida; Ixodidae.